Long non-coding RNA from Mus musculus (house mouse), 668 nucleotides. RefSeq annotates it as predicted gene, 39291. The transcript has 3 exons. The record is from RefSeq and is a predicted model, not a curated record. NCBI's taxonomy places the organism in Eukaryota, Metazoa, Chordata, Mammalia, Rodentia, Muridae.
CGCAUGCGCCUGGCCGCCCAGUGAGAGUCAGCUAACAGGAAAAUCUCCAGAAGGAAGAGGACACUAGUAUGUCAGAGAAAACACAAGAUGUGACGGCUUGGGAGAGGUGGACUCGAGGAAAAUGAGAGGAAUGUGGGCGGCCUGUGGGAUGAGGGGGUGAGGUAUUUAAGGGUGAGGUUAGAAGUAGUGAUGUGAGAUCAUACGUGAUGUGAGAACCCAUUUUGUAACGGUAACAGUGAAGCUAAGCAGACUGAUCCCACGGCCUCCAGUUACCUUGCAUUUACAUCUGCUUCCUUCUGUUUGCAUAUUGCAGAGCCUAUCAACUUUGCCCACCAGUGUUUCCUAAGCAUGUACAAGAGGCCAUGACAUGAGAUAGGAGUUCAAGAAGGUAUUGGGAUGAAUGCAUGGACGGAUGUCACUCACAGUUGAAAAUAUUGCUCCAGUUGUUUUUACUGCUACAGCCAAACCUGAAGCUCACUGAGAUAGUCUAGCUGGAAACUUUGCCCAAAGGAUUCCUCCACCACUGCCUCCUAUGUGCUGGGCUUGGUUUAUAAGCUGGCCUCCAUUUUCCCUCUACCCCCUAACAUUCUCACUACUGCACAGCCAGCCCCUGUUCUCAAAAGUUCAAUUCUAUCUCAAGUAAAAACUGACUCAGUCAUAGAAAACCU